GACGAACGCUGGCGGCGUGCUUAACACAUGCAAGUCGAACGGAAAGGCCCUGCUUUUGUGGGGUGCUCGAGUGGCGAACGGGUGAGUAACACGUGAGUAACCUGCCCUUGACUUUGGGAUAACUUCAGGAAACUGGGGCUAAUACCGGAUAUGAGCUCCUGCUGCAUGGUGGGUGUUGUAAAGUUUCGGCGGUUGGGGAUGGACUCGCGGCUUAUCAGCUUGUUGGUGGGGUAGUGGCUUACCAAGGCUUUGACGGGUAGCCGGCCUGAGAGGGUGACCGGCCACAUUGGGACUGAGAUACGGCCCAGACUCCUACGGGAGGCAGCAGUGGGGAAUAUUGCACAAUGGGCGGAAGCCUGAUGCAGCAACGCCGCGUGCGGGAUGACGGCCUUCGGGUUGUAAACCGCUUUCGCCUGUGACGAAGCGUGAGUGACGGUAAUGGGUAAAGAAGCACCGGCUAACUACGUG
This 468-nucleotide ribosomal RNA is filed under the name uncultured bacterium. Its description in RNAcentral is "partial 16S ribosomal RNA". It matches the Rfam family "Bacterial small subunit ribosomal RNA", at positions 28 to 507 of the family's 1533-position model. The record is from RNAcentral.